AUACGGAGGAUGCGAGCGUUAUCCGGAUUUAUUGGGUUUAAAGGGAGCGUAGGUGGGAUAUUAAGUCAGCUGUGAAAGUUUGGGGCUCAACCUUAAAAUUGCAGUCGAUACUGGUUUCCUUGAGUACGGUACAGGUGGGCGGAAUUCGUGGUGUAGCGGUGAAAUGCUUAGAUAUCACGAAGAACUCCGAUCGCGAAGGCAGCUCACCGGGCCGGAACUGACACUGAUGCUCGAAAGUGCGGGUAUCAAACAGGAUUAGAUACCCUGGUAGUCCGCACAGUAAACGAUGAAUACUCGCUGUUUGCGAUACACGGUAAGCGGCCAAGCGAAAGCGUUAAGUAUUCCACCUGGGGAGUACGCCGGCAACGGUGAAACUUAAAGGAAUUGACGGGG
RNAcentral lists this ribosomal RNA (393 nucleotides) under uncultured bacterium. Its description in RNAcentral is "partial 16S ribosomal RNA". It matches the Rfam family "Bacterial small subunit ribosomal RNA", at positions 523 to 918 of the family's 1533-position model. The record is from RNAcentral.